Molecule: RNA transcript, 1511 nt
Organism: Camelina sativa (false flax)
Lineage: Eukaryota; Viridiplantae; Streptophyta; Magnoliopsida; Brassicales; Brassicaceae
Gene name: serine/arginine-rich splicing factor SR30
Source: RefSeq, a predicted model, not a curated record
UUAUAACUAAAAGAAAUUAUUAGUUUGUCUUGUCUUGUUUCCAGAACAAUCUUCAGCACUUCUCGAACCUCUCCUUCUUCUUCUGUCCUGCGGCGAAAAGAUGAGUAGCCGAUGGAAUCGUACGAUCUACGUUGGGAAUCUCCCUGGAGAUAUUCGCAUGCGUGAGCUUGAAGAUCUCUUUUACAAGUACGGACCAAUUGUGGACAUUGACUUGAAGAUUCCACCGAGACCCCCUGGUUAUGCCUUUGUCGAGUUCGAAGAUCCUCGUGAUGCAGACGAUGCUAUCUAUGGCCGUGAUGGAUAUGACUUUGCUGGCUGUCGACUUAGAGUUGAGAUUGCACAUGGUGGUCGUAGAGGUUCAUCAUCAGUUGAUAGGUACAGCAGCAGCUACAGUGGCAGCCGUGCACCUUCAAGACGCUCCGACUUUCGUGUGCUUGUGACUGGAUUACCGCCAUCUGCUUCGUGGCAGGACCUGAAGGAUCACAUGCGCAAAGCUGGAGAUGUCUGCUUUUCUGAAGUUUUUCGUGACCGUGGAGGCAUGUCUGGGGUUGUUGAUUAUAGCAACUAUGAUGAUAUGAAGUACGCGUUAAGGAAGCUCGAUGACUCUGAAUUUCGAAAUGCUUUUUCUAAAGCUUACAUACGGGUGAGAGAAUAUGAGUCGAGGAGUGUGAGUCGCAGCCCGGAUUAUUCCAGAAGCAGGAGUCGGAGCCGUGGUCGAAGCUAUAGCUAUAGUAGCAGGAGCAGGAGUGUGUCACCUGCUAGAUCCGUUACCCCGCGGUCACGGUCCCUUACUCGCUCUCGUUCGCCACAUAGCUCUGUUUCUAGAUCUGGCUCACUGCUGCGAGCUGGGGAUUGGAUCUUAGGGACUUGAUGGGUCAUCUAGAUGGAUUGUUGGAACAAAGCCGGAUUAGCAUGAACUUGAACUUCUAUUUUUGGUCUGGUCUGGUACUCAGCGCGUGCUGUAGGAUCUGAUCACAGCGUUUUGGACUAUGAUACGCCAAUAUAUUAUCUGAUUUGACAAUGCUGUGUUGUGUUCUUUUUUAGGCCAGAACUUAAGUCCCGAGAUCAGUUGGGAGAUUGUUAGUGAAUUGCUUUUUCAUCCGACACUUACAUGGGUUUUUUUUGUCCUGCUGCAGGUCGCCAUCAAAAUCAAGAUCAAGAUCCAAUUCUCCUGUUUCACCCGUGAGAUCUGAUUGAAAAAAACUGGCUGUACCCGAAUCAGUAUCAUGCUUCUCAGGGUCCACUGCUAAUUGAAUCUGAUUCGGUCGGAGCUGAGUUUAUUCUACUGGUCUUCUCGUAUAGGAAGACCAAAUAUGUCUUUCUAGCUUUAGUUGUGAACAUGGAAUUGCUAUGUUAUUGUGUCAUUAACAAGCCAGGAACUCUGUGUCGGCUGCAUAUUAGACGUUGUGUUGGGUGUUUUUUUUUCUUUCAGGUUUCUCCAUACAUAUAUUAUUACAUUACAACUAUUAUUGGACCUGUGGUGUCUUUUAAGAUUCUCUUUAACUAUGCUA